Molecule: unclassified non-coding RNA, 348 nt
Filed under: soil metagenome
Description: partial contains 5.8S ribosomal RNA, internal transcribed spacer 2, and large subunit ribosomal RNA
Rfam family: 5.8S ribosomal RNA (bases 1-120)
Source: RNAcentral
GAUGAAGAACGCAGCGAAAUGCGAUAAGUAAUGUGAAUUGCAGAAUUCAGUGAAUCAUCGAAUCUUUGAACGCACAUUGCGCCCGCCAGUAUUCUGGCGGGCAUGCCUGUCUGAGCGUCAUUUCAACCCUCAUGCCCCUAGGGCGUGGUGUUGGGGAUCGGCCAAAGCCCGCGAGGGACGGCCGGCCCCUAAAUCUAGUGGCGGACCCGUCGUGUCCUCCUCUGCGAAGUAGUGAUAUUCCGCAUCGGAGAGCGAUGAGCCCCUGCCGUUAAACCCCCAACUUUCCAAGGUUGACCUCAGAUCAGGUAGGAAUACCCGCUGAACUUAAGCAUAUCAAUAAGCGGAGGA